AUUGAACGCUGGAGGUAUGCUUAACACAUGCAAGUCGAACGCGAAAGUUACUUCGGUAACGAGUAGAGUGGCGGACGGGUGAGUAACGCGUAGGAAUCUACCUAGAUGUGGGGGAUGACAUGGUGAAAAUCAUGCUAAUACCGCAUAUGUCCCACGGGAUAAAGAGGGCCUCUUCUUGAAAGCUCUUGCAUUUAGAUGAGCCUGCGUCGGAUUAGCUUGUUGGCGGGGUAAUGGCCCACCAAGGCGACGAUCCGUAGCUGGUCUGAGAGGAUGAUCAGCCACACUGGGACUGAGACACGGCCCAG
This 305-nucleotide ribosomal RNA is filed under the name uncultured bacterium. RNAcentral describes it as "bacterial SSU rRNA". It matches the Rfam family "Bacterial small subunit ribosomal RNA", at positions 30 to 334 of the family's 1533-position model. The record is from RNAcentral.